AUGAACGCUGGCGGCGUGCUUAACACAUGCAAGUCGAACGAUGAUGCCCAGCUUGCUGGGUGGAUUAGUGGCGAACGGGUGAGUAACACGUGAGUAACCUGCCCUUGACUCUGGGAUAAGCCUGGGAAACUGGGUCUAAUACCGGAUACGACCAUCUGGCGCAUGUCAUGGUGGUGGAAAGCUUUUGUGGUUUUGGAUGGACUCGCGGCCUAUCAGCUUGUUGGUGGGGUAAUGGCCUACCAAGGCGACGACGGGUAGCCGGCCUGAGAGGGUGACCGGCCACACUGGGACUGAGACACGGCCCAGACUCCUACGGGAGGCAGCAGUGGGGAAUAUUGCACAAUGGGCGCAAGCCUGAUGCAGCGACGCCGCGUGAGGGAUGACGGCCUUCGGGUUGUAAACCUCUUUCAGUAGGGAAGAAGCGAAAGUGACGGUACCUGCAGAAGAAGCGCCGGCUAACUACGUG
This 466-nucleotide ribosomal RNA is filed under the name uncultured bacterium. RNAcentral's name for it is "partial 16S ribosomal RNA". It matches the Rfam family "Bacterial small subunit ribosomal RNA", at positions 29 to 507 of the family's 1533-position model. The record is from RNAcentral.